Non-coding RNA from Trichobilharzia regenti, 119 nucleotides. The record is from Rfam. NCBI's taxonomy places the organism in Eukaryota, Metazoa, Platyhelminthes, Trematoda, Strigeidida, Schistosomatidae.
GUCGGUGACCAUACCACGGUGAAAGCACCGGUUCUCGUCCGAUUACCGAAGUUAAGCAACGUUGGACCCGGUUAGUACUUGCAUGGGUGACCGGUUGGGAAUACCGGGUGUUGCCGGCU